CGGGAGGCAGCAGUGGGGAAUUUUGGACAAUGGGCGAAAGCCUGAUCCAGCCAUGCCGCGUGAGUGAAGAAGGCCUUCGGGUUGUAAAGCUCUUUCAGUCGGGAAGAAACGAUUGCAACUAAUAAUUGUAAUUAAUGACGGUACCGACAGAAGAAGCACCGGCUAACUACGUGCCAGCAGCCGCGGUAAUACGUAGGGUGCGAGCGUUAAUCGGAAUUACUGGGCGUAAAGGGUGCGCAGGCGGUUUUGUAAGUCAGAUGUGAAAUCCCCGGGCUUAACCUGGGAAUUGCGUUUGAAACUGCAAGGCUAGAGUGUAGCAGAGGGGAGUGGAAUUCCGCGUGUAGCAGUGAAAUGCGUAGAGAUGCGGAGGAACACCGAUGGCGAAGGCAGCUCCCUGGGCUAACACUGACGCUCAUGCACGAAAGCGUGGGGAGCAAACAGGAUUAGAUACCCUGGUAGUCCACGCCCUAAACGAUGUCAACUAGUUGUCGGGCCUAAUUGAGGGUUUGGUAACGUAGCUAACGCGUGAAGUUGACCGCCUGGGGAGUACGAUCGCAAGAUUAAAACUCAAAGGAAUUGACGG
This 583-nucleotide ribosomal RNA is filed under the name uncultured Nitrosomonas sp. Its description in RNAcentral is "bacterial SSU rRNA". It matches the Rfam family "Bacterial small subunit ribosomal RNA", at positions 342 to 916 of the family's 1533-position model. Lineage: Bacteria; Pseudomonadati; Pseudomonadota; Betaproteobacteria; Nitrosomonadales; Nitrosomonadaceae. The record is from RNAcentral.